AACGAACGCUGGCGGCAUGCCUAACACAUGCAAGUCGAACGAGAUCUUCGGAUCUAGUGGCGCACGGGUGCGUAACGCGUGGGAAUCUGCCCUUUGGUUCGGAAUAACUUCGGGAAACUGAAGCUAAUACCGGAUGAUGACUUCGGUCCAAAGAUUUAUCGCCAAAGGAUGAGCCCGCGUAAGAUUAGCUAGUUGGUGGGGUAAAGGCCUACCAAGGCGACGAUCUUUAGCUGGUCUGAGAGGAUGAUCAGCCACACUGGGACUGAGACACGGCCCAGACUCCUACGGGAGGCAGCAGUGGGGAAUAUUGGACAAUGGGCGAAAGCCUGAUCCAGCAAUGCCGCGUGAGUGAUGAAGGCCUUAGGGUUGUAAAGCUCUUUUACCCGGGAUGAUAAUGACAGUACCGGGAGAAUAAGCUCCGGCUAACUCCGUGCCAGCAGCCGCGGUAA
Molecule: ribosomal RNA, 449 nt
Filed under: uncultured bacterium
Lineage: Bacteria
Description: partial 16S ribosomal RNA
Rfam family: Bacterial small subunit ribosomal RNA
Source: RNAcentral